Molecule: ribosomal RNA, 1343 nt
Filed under: uncultured bacterium
Lineage: Bacteria
Description: 16S ribosomal RNA
Rfam family: Bacterial small subunit ribosomal RNA
Source: RNAcentral
GACGAACGCUGGCGGCGUGCUUAACACAUGCAAGUCGAACGGAAAGGCCCUGCUUUUGUGGGGUGCUCGAGUGGCGAACGGGUGAGUAACACGUGAGUAACCUGCCCUUGACUUUGGGAUAACUUCAGGAAACUGGGGCUAAUACCGGAUAGGAGCUCCUGCUGCAUGGUGGGGGUUGGAAAGUUUCGGCGGCUGGGGAUGGACUCGCGGCUUAUCAGCUUGUUGGUGGGGUAGUGGCUUACCAAGGCUUUGACGGGUAGCCGGCCUGAGAGGGUGACCGGCCACAUUGGGACUGAGAUACGGCCCAGACUCCUACGGGAGGCAGCAGUGGGGAAUAUUGCACAAUGGGCGGAAGCCUGAUGCAGCAACGCCGCGUGCGGGAUGACGGCCUUCGGGUUGUAAACCGCUUUCGCCUGUGACGAAGCGUGAGUGACGGUAAUGGGUAAAGAAGCACCGGCUAACUACGUGCCAGCAGCCGCGGUGAUACGUAGGGUGCGAGCGUUGUCCGGAUUUAUUGGGCGUAAAGGGCUCGUAGGUGGUUGAUCGCGUCGGAAGUGUAAUCUUGGGGCUUAACCCUGAGCGUGCUUUCGAUACGGGUUGACUUGAGGAAGGUAGGGGAGAAUGGAAUUCCUGGUGGAGCGGUGGAAUGCGCAGAUAUCAGGAGGAACACCAGUGGCGAAGGCGGUUCUCUGGGCCUUUCCUGACGCUGAGGAGCGAAAGCGUGGGGAGCGAACAGGCUUAGAUACCCUGGUAGUCCACGCUGUAAACGGUGGGUACUAGGUGUGGGGUCCAUUCCACGGGUUCCGUGCCGUAGCUAACGCUUUAAGUACCCCGCCUGGGGAGUACGGCCGCAAGGCUAAAACUCAAAGGAAUUGACGGGGCCCCGCACAAGCGGCGGAGCAUGCGGAUUAAUUCGAUGCAACGCGUAGAACCUUACCUGGGUUUGACAUGGAUCGGGAGCGCUCAGAGAUGGGUGUGCCUCUUUUGGGGUCGGUUCACAGGUGGUGCAUGGCUGUCGUCAGCUCGUGUCGUGAGAUGUUGGGUUAAGUCCCGCAACGAGCGCAACCCUUGUUCACUGUUGCCAGCACGUUAUGGUGGGGACUCAGUGGAGACCGCCGGGGUCAACUCGGAGGAAGGUGGGGAUGACGUCAAGUCAUCAUGCCCCUUAUGUCCAGGGCUUCACGCAUGCUACAAUGGCUGGUACAGAGAGUGGCGAGCCUGUGAGGGUGAGCGAAUCUCGGAAAGCCGGUCUCAGUUCGGAUUGGGGUCUGCAACUCGACCUCAUGAAGUCGGAGUCGCUAGUAAUCGCAGAUCAGCAACGCUGCGGUGAAUACGUUCUCGGG